UUGUUUAUAUAUGACUGCGUCUGCCGACCGCCGUCGCCAACAGCUACCCGUGCCGACGUUCCUACCGCUGUGCACUACCGCCGCGGCUCACGUUUCCUGUUUAAUUGCUGCUGGUUUUUUUUUUUUUUUGUUCUCUCCUCUCCCAUCGUCGUCGUAACGUUAUACAUAUUUUCGUUCCUUCAUCACCAGCACACCGCACGCGGCGGUACUGUUUUGCACACGCAACUGCUCGCUGAUACCGUUCCGUUUCUUCCCGGCGAGUGAGUUCACCGGUCUUGAAGAUCAUCGACAUUUCCAAACCAAUACUGUAAUUAAUACUUAAGAAAAUAUGUCUCAUCGCGACUGGGAUCAGUCGUGCAAGGUCUACAUUGGUAAUUUGGGACAAAAUGGUACUAAACACGAAAUUGAAGCAUCAUUUACCAAGUAUGGUCCAUUGAAAAACACAUGGAUUGCCAGAAAUCCACCAGGUUUUGCUUUUGUUGAAUUUGAAGAUCCAAGAGAUGCUGAAGAUGCAGUUAGAGGUCUUGAUGGAACCCGUAUUUGUGGAGUCCGCGUGCGUGUUGAAAUGUCUAGCAACCGACCUCGUAGUGGACGAGAUGGUCGUGGAGGUGUUGAUCGCAGAGGAGGUGGUGGUGGCGGCGGUGGAUAUAACAGAGGUCCUCCACGCUAUAAUGAUAGGUAUAAUGACAGGAAAAGGAUCAUUGGUUAUCGCCCAUACUAAAAAAAUUAAUCAUCCCAUCUUAUAAAAAACCUCACACUGAAAAUAGGACUUGACCAACAUUUUUGUACUUCGCUCCAUCAAUUCUACCGAAUUGAAUUAUCGUUACGUGUUAUUUAACAUCAUGCUGGCGGAAACAGCCUAUUCUACACUAUUCUACAAUAUUCUUCCAACACCUCUACCCUACGAUCAACUCUUCGCAAGCACUCUUAUGCUUUCUCGGCUGUUUUAACGUCUCCACUCACACUCUCCAUCUAAACAACAUGUGGUAUUAAUUAUUCUUUCAUUCAAAACUGAGAGUUGUAAGUUAAAAGAUCACGAUCGCGUUCACCAAAACGUCGUGCUCCGCCUUCAAGGUCACGUUCCAGGAGUUACUCGCCAAGACAACGUCGCACGUCACAUUCCUA
Sipha flava (yellow sugarcane aphid) is the source of this 1125-nucleotide RNA transcript. It is a transcript of the gene named RNA-binding protein 1-like, with no coding region annotated. The record is from RefSeq and is a predicted model, not a curated record. Lineage: Eukaryota; Metazoa; Arthropoda; Insecta; Hemiptera; Aphididae. The transcript has 5 exons.